UGAAUUGGCAAAAUCCCCAUCAAACUGAUCCUUUUACAUCAAAUUAUGGUGUUUUGGUUCCUGCGCAUGCUAAUUUUGUUAGGAAUAAUGCUCCAAUGAAUGUGAAUCAAAUUGAGCAUCAAAAUUCAAAUAAAAAUGAUAUGGGGAACAUGAAAUUAGAAAAAAACUCCUUCAUACUUUAUCCAAAACACUACCAAUUUGAAAUUUAGGGUUUCAACUAG
RNAcentral lists this long non-coding RNA (221 nucleotides) under Capsicum annuum. RNAcentral's name for it is "long non-coding RNA (CANN_LNC009994)". The record is from RNAcentral. Lineage: Eukaryota; Viridiplantae; Streptophyta; Magnoliopsida; Solanales; Solanaceae.